GCAAUCUGGACACUAAAGACAGCGCUAUGACCGUCAUUGCUGACUCCUGUUUGUUUGUCCUCCAGUCUGAGAAGCUCGAUCAAGUGCGAAUGACGCAGGUGUCACUUUCUCCUAGGAACUUUUCAAGAUGGGAAAUGCAAGAAAACGUGAUUCAAGAAAAAACCCUCCCUCCAUCCUGCCUUUCAUAUCAAAUUUAAUUACAGCAGCCAGAUUCCCAGAUGGCCCCGGUGAGCCAAGGCUUUGCUGCUGCAAACACAUCCUUCCUGGACAGAUAGAUGUACAUGCUCUGCAAGAUGUUCAGUAUUGUGCCAUCGAGGUAGUGGGUCUAGGACUGAGACUAGCAUCCCAGUCUUUUGGAACGGGCGUGACACCCUGGAAAGAACAGUCCUCUUGCAGUCGGAGUAUUCUGUAGUGGCAAGCAGGAGAAACCGGAAAUAAAAAGAGCAGGUAGACAUGCCAACAGGAGUGAGCAGCACGGCUGAUAGACACAGACCAAAAGAGGCAGCUGGCCAGUUCCAGUGUUCAGAGCAGAAGGAGGGCAGCAGGGGCUGGAAGGGCUACAGGCCGGUUCCAGCAGCUGGAACCAGAAGCCGGGGCCAUCAGACGGGAAAAAACCGGCAAGCCCAGCAGCCGAGGACAAGCUGGUCGGCAGACUGAGACAAACCGCAGGAACGAGAAAGGUACAGCAAUUAUUAGUAGCAGAGAGCGGCCGAGGAACUAGCAUUUCGGAGAUGAGGAAGAGGUGACCCCGGGAAGACUGCAAAUAGCGAGGCCUGUUGCGUAGCCACAGAAAUACUCCCACAAGUUGAAGCACAGUACUCUACAGGUGCUAUCCACGUAUGCUGGACGUUGUGGAUUCGUCCAGGCUGGCGACAAAGACAGGAUGGAGAGAGGCUUAGGAGAAAUGCCAGAGGCAGACUGAACUGAACUGAGCUGAGCUGGAUUGAUGGUUGAUAGGUCUAGACUGCUGAUGAACACCCACAGGAGGACGGCAGAAUCACACUCCUAAUGUUAGACUUUAUAUUUAAGAGACUUUUAUUCUCUUGAUGCCCUUUUGGACUUUUUAUCUUCUUAUUCUGUGUGGCUGGUGGUUCUUAAAGUAUUAGACACUAUGACAGUUUUAUUUUUCCUAUGCCAUUCAAAUAAUAGCGCAACAUGGUUCUCAAGGUCCACUGUCC
Molecule: long non-coding RNA, 1178 nt
Organism: Poeciliopsis prolifica (blackstripe livebearer)
Lineage: Eukaryota; Metazoa; Chordata; Actinopteri; Cyprinodontiformes; Poeciliidae
Exons: 5
Source: RefSeq, a predicted model, not a curated record